Molecule: long non-coding RNA, 366 nt
Filed under: Daucus carota (carrot)
Lineage: Eukaryota; Viridiplantae; Streptophyta; Magnoliopsida; Apiales; Apiaceae
Description: long non-coding RNA (DCAR_LNC001575)
Source: RNAcentral
AGAGAUAUGGAAGUGUACAACCCACCCUUCAAAACGCCGUCGUACCGGUAUUUGCCCUAUUUGUCUUCGUGACCGACUCAACACUCUGUGCCCUAAUUGCGCGCACGUGCGCCCUUGCGAAUGUUGUCCCCUCGCCGCUGCCGCCGCCUCGUCAUCGUCUGCGUCGUCGUCGUCAUCUUCUUUCUCUUUGUUCUCGUCUACCUCCACCUCCGGCGAGCCGUCGAUGCGCCGGUCAAGAUCACUCGCCAUUCCAUUCCUCCGGUCGCGUUCAAAGUACGCGCCUAACCUCGAAUUCAUCGAUCAAAAGCCGCCGCCGCCGCCGCCCUCUCAACCUCCGGUAAAAGCGCCCGAUCAAAGCUUGCCGUU